RNAcentral lists this long non-coding RNA (2552 nucleotides) under Homo sapiens (human). Its description in RNAcentral is "HSALNT0078790". Lineage: Eukaryota; Metazoa; Chordata; Mammalia; Primates; Hominidae. The record is from RNAcentral.
GUAGUGAUAAGACAUGACUGGGAAGCAGUUACCAGAGACAAGCAAGGAUAGGGCUUUGAAUGCAUCCUCUGCUGGUGGCUUCUGUAGUUAUGCAUAAAAUUUACUCUGACCUGUUUACUUUUAUAGCCUGUCUUUACUUUGUUUCUUUUAAUAUUAUACAUGUUUAGGCUAUGCUUUUUCUUUAAAUAUGUGAGCAAAUCUAUUGGUGUAAUGUACUCAUUACCCUAAAACCUAUAUUAUAAUGGACCCGAAUACCAUAAGGUAGAAGAUCAGAAGAAAAAGAAAAUGCAUACAUUUUUAUCUUUAAAACAAUUCACUUUUAAGAUUAUUUUCUUGAAAGGUAUACGUUUGAUGGAGCUGAAUCUAGUUCCUUCAGGCAGAUAUAAUAGGAUACAAUAGGAUAGGACUUCUUGGGUAAAAAAGGUGUAGUAAUCUGUGAGACUCAUGGGAAGGAGAAAGGAAAUUAUUAAUUAAUUUGGCUGAGGCCAGGGUAGUAAGCAGAUUCAUUAUAAAUUCUGGCAGCAGAGGAAUACUUGAGAAAUGCUUAUAAAGUUAGAUCAUCUAUUUUUCCAAGCAAAUUCUUCAUGUCAUUCCACCUUGUAAAAACUUUGUGGAAAAGAAUAAGCACAUGAAUGAGCAAUGAAUAGACUUUGCAUUAGAUUGGUAAUCUUGCUACUAGUACAUUAAUUUACUUGUAUUACUGAUAUUUUAAGAUAGGAUUUUUACAGAUGUUUAUAUAUUUUUUAAAAGCCUAUUUUUUUCUUUACCCAUUUUCUCAAUUUUUUUAACCUCGAAAACUUUUUCCUCCCUGAGAGAAAUACAUGGGCUAUCUUCAGCAUAGAACACAAACUCUGCCUUCUUUUCUCAAGUCCAGUGAUUCAAGUUUGACACACCACACCACGGUGGAUGUGCCUUGUCAUGACACAUCUCAGCAGCACUAGAAGAUACAUCCAAAGUCCUGUGAGCAAGGUCUGUGGUAUCUGUUUAUUAUGGCAGCCCAGUAAGACUAAGACAGGCCAUCACAAGACGUGAACGUUUUGGACCUUCUCUUGGGCCCUAGUAAACAGAAAUCAGGCUAUUUAUUAAACUAAUCCACGUUCUGAACAGUUAUUGCUACUGGAAACCAGUCCCGAUCCAGACCACAAAAGACGAUUCUUGGAUCUUGCACAAGAAAGAAAGGGAAGAUCUGGCAAGAGUUAGCGUGCAGUUCUACAUUGUGACAAUUCAUGAGAGCUAAGGACUGGCUGUCUCUUGGGACAAAUAGGCUUUCUUGAGUCUGCAUGAGGCCCUCACCAGAUACAGCCACCUGAUCUUGGACUUCACAGCCUCCAGAAAUCUUAUAGAAGAGUACAGCAUACAGAAAAAUACAUCUUCUGCAAAGAAAACACAGUCAUGUAGAGAACCUUUCCAUCCCCAGUCUGGACCCAGGCUUGUACUCAGAAAUCCUGGCUGCCUUCACAGCAUCAAACUAUAAUUUUUUGUCUACCUCGAUUUAUGAAUGAUCAAGAGCUCUCUUAGAUUAUCUGCCUUUUAGCAGGGGCUGAGGAUUAUUAAUAUUCCAGCCCAUAUUUAGAAUUGGCAAAUGCCGUUAAGGCUUUGCUUCCACUUCUAAGUGAGAACAUACAGUGUUUGGUUUUUCAUUCCUGAGUUACUUCACCUAGAACAAUGGCCUCCAGCUCCAUCCAAGUUGCUGCAGAAGACAUUUCAUUCCUUUUAUGGCUGAGUAGUAUUCCAUGUCCAGUGAUUCAAGUUUGACACACCACACCACGGUGGAUGUGCCUUGUCAUGACACAUCUUCUCAGCAGCACUAGAAGAUACAUCCAAAGUCCUGUGAGCAAGGACACAGCGAGAAGAUGGCUGUCUACAAGCCAGGAAGAGAGUCCUCACCAGAACCAAACCCUGCUGGACUUUGAUCUUGGACUUCCCAGCCUCUAAAACUGUGAAGACAUAAAUUUCUGUUGUUAAACCCACACAGGUCUGUGGUAUCUGUUUAUUAUGGCAGCCCAGUAAGACUAAGACAGGCCAUCACAAGACAUGAAUGUUUUGGACCUUCUCUUGGGCCCUAGUAAACAGAAAUCAGGUACGCAAAAGGGGUAAGCAUAUAAUUUCCUUUAUUUUUAUUUUUAAUGUGUAAGCCUUAGGUUUUUAUUUAUUUAUUUGGUGAAGACAAUCACAUUGUGUACGUACAAUGUAAUUAUAUUGUUGACGAGAAGUUACUUAAAAUUUUUUAAAAAUUCUAAUCGAUUUCUAGAUGUCCAAAUGAGAAGAUAGCAUUUAUAUACCAUCAGAACAUAAAAUAAUUCAAAAAAAUAAAUUUAUAAAACAAUAUGUAUUAUAUUGAGAGAAAGAGAGGGAGAGAGUAUUGGAAGAAUAUAUGCAAAUACAAUGUGAUAAUGUGAUGUCUUUGUGAGAAUGCUAUAUGUCAUUUUCUUUGUUUAUAUGAAUUUUUACAAUUUUUACCUUUGAAAUAUAAAAAAGAGAGAAUAAAAGUCAUUGAAAAAAUCAAAAGUAACUAUUUUCAUAGGUGAGUAAGUAUACAUCUUUAACAGAAC